UCCGCAAAAGCCUCUAAUGGUGAAUGGGGUUAUGCUGAAGUCAUUAGGAGGAGCGAUCUGGAAGGAUCACCUUACUUGAAGGACGAUGUUUUUAGUCUCAGGUGCGAUAUCACCGUGCCAAAGGAGAUCUUCAUCACCAAGGCCAUCCCUGUUUCCGCAGUUCAUCCUGGUGACAUGAAGCAGGAGUGAUGAAACGGCUCCUCUCGGCCGUGGCGUUUGAAUUCGCGGGAGUGGCCUUGGCUCCGUUGUGUGUGAUCCGACGAUCAUCCUUUGGAGAUGCUUUGCCAAUGUUGCCAGGUCUCUCUUUAUCUUUCAUCUUCUAUCAGCGAUUGCUUUUCAGUUUAAGCACUGUUGUGCACGUCAGUUUGAUCGUCGAGUCUUGUAACGGAAGCACCGAACUAAUAAGGUGCAUUUCCGAGUCUUGUCGCUUUAGAUUUUUCGUAUUCCAGUCUCUAAACCGAACCUUUGUAGCUUCGGGUGUCGUUGCGAAAUUGUCUUUGUAAUCGCCUAGUCAAUGGAAACCAGCAAUCGUAGUUCC
RNAcentral lists this long non-coding RNA (538 nucleotides) under Hordeum vulgare. RNAcentral describes it as "long non-coding RNA (HVUL_LNC020288)". The record is from RNAcentral. Lineage: Eukaryota; Viridiplantae; Streptophyta; Magnoliopsida; Poales; Poaceae.